Molecule: ribosomal RNA, 494 nt
Filed under: uncultured bacterium
Lineage: Bacteria
Description: partial 16S ribosomal RNA
Rfam family: Bacterial small subunit ribosomal RNA
Source: RNAcentral
GACGAACGCUGGCGGCGUGCUUAACACAUGCAAGUCGAACGGAAAGGCCUGCUUUCCCUUGUGGAUUGCGGGUACUCGAGUGGCGAACGGGUGAGUAACACGUGAGUGAUCUGCCCCCAACUUGGGUAUAAGCCUGGGAAACUGGGUCUAAUUCCCGAUAGGACUGCAGGGUGGUGCCUGUGGUGGAAAACGAUUUUCUAGUGGUUGGGGAUGAGCUCGCGGCCUAUCAGCUUGUUGGUGGGGUAAUGGCCUACCAAGGCGGCGACGGGUAGCCGGCCUGAGAGGGGGGACGGCCACAGUGGGACUGAGAUACGGCCCAGACUCCUACGGGAGGCAGCAGUGGGGAAGAUUGCACAAUGGGCGGAAGCCUGAUGCAGCGACGCCGCGUGGGGGAUGACGGCCUUCGGGUUGUAAACUCCUUUCGACCGCGAGGAAGCCACCUGGUUGGAAGGGUGGUGACGGUAGUGGUAGAAGAAGCACCGGCUAACUACGUG